RNAcentral lists this ribosomal RNA (494 nucleotides) under uncultured bacterium. RNAcentral's name for it is "bacterial SSU rRNA". It matches the Rfam family "Bacterial small subunit ribosomal RNA", at positions 903 to 1397 of the family's 1533-position model. The record is from RNAcentral.
AAAGGAAUUGACGGGGGCCCGCACAAGCAGUGGAUCAUGUGGUUUAAUUCGACGAUACGCGAAAAACCUUACCAGAACUUGACAUCCAGAGAAUUCUGUAGAAGUACGGAAGUGCCCGCAAGGGAGCUCUGAGACAGGUGGUGCAUGGUUGUCGUCAGCUCGUGUCGUGAGAUGUUAGGUUAAGUCCUGCAACGAGCGCAACCCUCGUGUUGUGUUGCUACAUUCAGUUGAGCACUCGCAACAGACUGCCCGUGGUAAACGGGAGGAAGGUGAGGAUGACGUCAAAUCAUCAUGCCCUUUAUGUUCUGGGCUACACACAUGAUACAAUGGCAAGUACAAAGGGAAGCCAAGCCGCGAGGCGGAGCAAAUCUCAGAAAACUUGUCCCAGUUCAGAUUGCAGGCUGCAACUCGCCUGCAUGAAGAUGGAAUUGCUAGUAAACGCAGAUCAGCACGCUGCGUUGAAUACGUUCCCGGGCCUUGUACACACCGCCCGU